CGUAGUCAUAUGCUUGUCUCAAAGAUUUAGCCAAGCAUGUUUAAGUAUAAACAACUUUAUACUGUGAAACUGCGUACAGCUCAUUAUAUCAGUUAUUAUUUAUUUGAUGGUCAAAUACUACUUGGAUAACCGUAGUAAUUCUAGAGGUAAUACAUUACCACAGCUUCUACCGCAAAGACGAAGCGUAUUUAUUAGAUAAAAAACCAAUGUGGUUUGGCAUUUUUUUGGUGAUUCAUAGUAACUGUUUGAAUCGAGGAUCACUUCCCGAUAGUUCAUUCAAAUUUUUGCCCUAUCAGCUUCCGACGGUAGUGUAGUGGACUUCCGUGGCAUUAACGGGUGACGGGGAAUUAGGGUUUGAUUCCGGAGAGGGAGCCUGAGAAACGGCUACCACAUCCAAGGAAGGCAGCAGGCGCGGGAAUUACCCAAUCCUGACACAGGGAGGUAGUGACCAAAAAUAACAAUACUAAAUCUUUAAUGGUUCAGUAAUUGGAAAGGGUUUUAUUUAAAAACCUUAACGAAAGCAACU
RNAcentral lists this ribosomal RNA (526 nucleotides) under uncultured eukaryote. RNAcentral's name for it is "bacterial SSU rRNA". It matches the Rfam family "Eukaryotic small subunit ribosomal RNA", at positions 21 to 549 of the family's 1831-position model. The record is from RNAcentral.